AAAAGGAGUUUUUCCUUUGGACCAUAUGCAUUUAUGUGACCUGGAGAAGAAAGAGUACCUCAAUUGUCUUAAAUCCUCUGGGCAUAAAUCUGACAACUGUAGACACCUCUCUAAAAAGUACCUGGUGUGCCGUAUGGAGAAGAACUUGAUGGCAAAGCAAGACAUGUCAGAACUUGGCUUUGGCAAAAAUGUUGAUGCCGGAACUAAAUCAGAGGAAAAGACAGACCAAACGAAAGAAAAAUGAAGGUGAAGUACUUGCUAUGUACUUUCGAAUAGUCUGGGCUCUGGCUGUGAAACUCCAGGCCGUCAUUAGUCGUAUCUCCACAAGUUCUGUCUGUUCUAUGCGGAGGUGCACAUUUUUCCUCUCAACCUUUUGUAACGUUUUAUCUCUUUCUUCUCCUGGAUCCUCUCUGAACUGUAGUAAAAAAAUGUAUAGCGAGAGGGGAGAGAACACUAAAGGAAG
Molecule: unclassified non-coding RNA, 463 nt
Filed under: Hevea brasiliensis (rubber tree)
Lineage: Eukaryota; Viridiplantae; Streptophyta; Magnoliopsida; Malpighiales; Euphorbiaceae
Source: RNAcentral